Microtus oregoni (creeping vole) is the source of this 5059-nucleotide RNA transcript. It is a transcript of the gene named pygopus family PHD finger 1, with no coding region annotated. The record is from RefSeq and is a predicted model, not a curated record. Lineage: Eukaryota; Metazoa; Chordata; Mammalia; Rodentia; Cricetidae. The transcript has 4 exons.
UCUUGGGGACUAGAGGGCAGAGAGCAGCCCGGGGCGCAGAGGAGCUGGAUGCAGAAUUGGAGGGUUUGGGGCCUUGGAGGGCGACGGGGAGCGCAGAGCAGGACGUUGCGCCCUUGCGCCCUGCACGGGGUGCGCGGAACCUGGGAGUCUUGGGCCUUGGAGGGCAGCGGAGAGCGUGGAGCCCGAGCUGCGGGACGCAGACGGGAGACGCAGAGCUGGCGGUACUGGGCCUUGGAGGGCGCAGGGACCCCGGCGCAUAGGGGUGCAGGGUUAACGCGGGGCCUGGUGCGCACGGCCCCGGAGCGCAGCGCAGUCCGCAAGCGAGGCCGCGGCCUUGGAGCUCCGUGCGGGUGAGGGUGCGGGGCUCCGCGCGCCCUGGGUCCCCGCCCCCGAGGCCCGACCCCGUGCUGGGUUGUAGAGCACAGGCGGGGCGGGGAGGCCUCGGGACCGCGCCACGUCCCCCGAGCGGCCACUGCAGGCCGGGGGCUUUUGUGUCCGCGGAGGCCGCGUCUCCCCCGCGCGCGGGCGGAGCGCAGCGCAACGCGGCCCAGGGCGCGCGUAUUCUGCGGGCCGGGCGCGGGCGCCGCCCCCAGGCCGCGGCCCUGAACCCGGCUGAGCCCCGCGUGUGUGCGGAGCCCCGAGGCCUCGGCCGCCUCCCAAACUUUUAAAAGUCGGUCCGCGGCCCUGCCGGCCUGGGCUCCGAGCUCGGCCGGGAGGACCCCGGGGACCAGGAGGAGGACCCGGAGGACCAGAAGGAGGACCCGGAGGAGGAGGGGCCACCGCAUCAAAGACGCCGGCUUCCCGCGGCCCAGGGGCGAGCCAUGCGCGGCGGUCGGUAAUGUCAGCGGAACAGGACAAGGAGCCCAUCGCGCUAAAGAGAGUUCGAGGUGGUGACAGUGGACUGGAUGGGUUAGGAGGACCAAAUAUACAACUAGGAAGCCCAGAUAAGAAAAAACGCAAGGGCAGUGCACAGGGACCUUCCUUUCCUCCAUUGUCUGAGUAUGCACCACCACCCAAUCCAAACUCCGACCAUCUAGUGGCCGCCAACCCCUUCGAUGACAACUAUAACACCAUUUCCUAUAAACCACUGCCUUCGUCCAAUCCCUACCUUAACCCCGGUUAUCCCGGCUUUGGAGGCUACAGCACAUUCAGAAUGCCACCCCACGUUCCCCCAAGAAUGUCUUCCCCCUACUGUGGUCCUUACUCACUCAGGAAUCAACCACAUCCAUUUCCUCAGAAUCCCUUGGGCAUGGGCUUUAACCGGCCGCAUGCUUUUAACUUCGGGCCACAUGAUAAUCCGAGUUUCGGAAACCCUCCUUACAAUAAUGUGCUGACUCAGGACAUGAACAUGCCUGGUCAGCAUUUUAGACAGAGCUCUGCAGAGAACUUCAGCCAGAUUCCCCCACAGAAUCCUGGCCAGGUAUCUAACCCUGACCUGGCAUCUAAUUUUGUCCCUGGAAAUAAUUCAAAUUUUACCUCUCCGUUAGAACCUAAUCAUUCUUUUAUUCCACCCCCAAACGCGUUUGGUCAAGCGAAAGCGCCACCUCCCAAACAAGACUUUCCCCAAGGGACAACCAAAACCACGAGUCAGAAUUCCUCCGCUCACCCGCCUCACUUAAAUAUGGAGGAUCCAGUCAAUCAGAGUAACGCUGAAUUAAAAAAUGUCAACAGAAACAAUGCCGUGCAAGAGAACAGCCGCUCGGGUAGUGCAGAGGCCACCAACAGCCACGCCAAUGGGACCCAGAACAAGCCUCGGCAGCCCAGGGGCUCAGCCGACCUGUGCACCACCGAGAAAAGCCGCAAGUUCUCCCUGCACCCCAGCCGCCAUGGCCAUUCGUCUUCUGACCCGGUGUACCCGUGUGGGAUUUGUACGAAUGAAGUGAAUGACGACCAGGACGCCAUCCUGUGUGAGGCUUCCUGUCAGAAAUGGUUUCAUCGCAUCUGCACUGGAAUGACGGAGACAGCCUACGGGCUCCUGACGGCUGAGGCCUCGGCAGUGUGGGGCUGCGAUACGUGCAUGGCUGACAAGGAUGUCCAGCUCAUGCGCACUAGAGAAGCCUUUGGUCCACCUGCAGUGGGUGGCGAUUCCUAACCACGGCUGUUGCCUACCGUGGGUUCCUUUUUCUGUGUAGAACGGAGAUUUGGUGACAUGGGAUUUUAAUGUUUGACAUUUUUUGAGAUGGCACACACAAAAAUGCUACAUCUUAGUUCUUACUAACGUUGUGCUUCAUUUUAUUGUUGUGUUUGUUGUCUUAAAUGAGAUUAAUGUGUGUGUGGGUGCCCUAGAGACACCUAUAAAUAAAUGUUCGUUGUUAUUUAUCAUAAACAUAAAAGCCUCUUGAAGCUUCAAAAUAGUAUAUGACAAAGACAUCCAACUCUGCCUAAUGAUAGAAAGAACUCUUAGUAAUACUGCUCACCGUGCAAUCUGAUUGAUAUCAUCCUAAAAACGUACCAAGCAUCCUCGUCUAACAGUCUUUCAAACUUACUUGAACAAAUUAGCAUGCCAGUAUUUCUCCCAUCCUCGGGCUGGUAGAACACGAAGCCGAUGAGCAAGCGGCCAUUUUAAAGGGGUCUUCUAAAGUGUGUAGAACUUCCUUUUUGUAAUGUAGAGAGGUUUUUGUGUGCAUGUACAUUUGUGCUCUCUUAGGCUUUUCUAAUUCAAAAAGUUGAAAAUCAACCAGACUCACAGCUCAUUUGUAAAUAAUAGUUGGAAAGCCGAUGUGAGAUAGUUAGAUUCCUAGGGACCUCAUGAGGCUCAUGAUCAUGUCUGUGUAAGAGAGAGAAACUGUGAUCUCCCGUCCUUCCUCUGUGGUUAGGGAAGGCGAUGUUUACUGGCGUGGGUGAUUCUUAGUUGCCCUCUUAGCAUCUGCUGUAGAAGCAGGCUUGUCUUUUUCCCUCUAGAAUGUUCCAACGUCUCCGCCUUUGCUCCGAUCAGAAGUUGCUUUGUGAGUUGGGGAUGUGGCUCCAUUAGUACAGUACUUGCCUAGCAUUCAUGAAACCCAGGUCCCAUCCCCAGAACCACACAAAAACAGGACGCAGUGUACCCACCUGAAAUCCCGGCACUUGGGAGGAGGAAACAGAAACUCAAGGUCAUCCUCAGCUAUGUACAGCCAGUUUGAGGCUAGCCUGAGCUACAGAAGACUAUCUCGAAAGAAAGAAAUGACUUCCUCGUGUGGUGUUGGGUGGCUAGAUUUUAAGAGAAGAACAUUUCCUCCUGAGAUAUGGAGAAUGUGACGUUACAUUUCCUUUUGCGAAGAGUCUUCAGACUAUAACAUCUAACAUUUCAGACUGGCCCAGUCCCAGGCGUAUUUUUUGCAAAUCAGCUGCCCCUGUCUUUGGACUACCUCCUCCAGAAAAGUCUGGACCUUCACAGCUUUCCUGAGCUUAGAAGUUCCGUUCUCAUCCCCAGAUUUCAACAACUUCCUCUUCUUGUCUUCUCCAUUUACUCAGGAGAACAGUGUAAAAUCAUGUCUGCAUUUACAGAUUCUUGGUUAAUUCUGGGACAGGAGUUCGGAGGUGCUGGAGCACCGAGGUUAGAGAGAACCCUCACAUAUCCCAAGGCAGAUGGUCAAAGGGAGAUGGAUGAAGGUGGCCACGUAUAAGCCAAAGCCUCAAGACAUGGGACACUUGCCUGUGAGUAAUGAGAAGCUCAGUAAAAGCUGUGGGAAACCUUGCCUGUGUCCUGUUUUCCACUAACACGUGACUUGCAGUUAUUAUCAACAUGUCUCUAAGUACAUGUAUGUACCUCUUGUCUGUGGUAAGUGGUGUUGCUUGUUAGUUACAUGUUAUCUUUUAUAAAAAGAGUCCUGCUUCUUAUCAUGAUGUAUGUGACUUGAACAAUUGUUUCAUAUUAAAACUAUCUUCCCUGUGUACUGUUGACAUAUGCCUCUUUUUGGGAUAUCAGCUCAGUACCUUUAUACAAACUCAAGUGUGUUCCACAUUGGUGACAUGUAUUUUGCAGUAGGUUGUCCUUUUGUUCUUAGUGUGUGUCUUAAGUCAUAAUACACCAGUGCUGUGGUCUGUGGCAAAAUGACUGUAAUUCAAAUUGGAAAAAUAAAAGUUUCCAGACUUUGUCCAACCUUUAUUCCUAUGGUAAAGGAAAUUACUAUGUAAUUCUAAUUAUUUCAUAUGAUGGUAUGUUUUAAUCUACUCUGUGAAGUAAGAGAAACACCAGUGUUUAUGGGUGAGUUAGUAAAGGCUCUGAAGUCUUUGAAGCAUGGGAGGAGUAAACUGUGUUAGCAGCUCAUGGCAUCCAUAAUACAAUAAAUACAUCUUAAAGUAUUCACCUGUCCAGCGUGGUAGCAUAAAUUCCUAAUCCUAGUGUUCAGAACCUGAGCCUGGAGACUCUGGAGUUGGAUACGACCCUCGGCUAUGUAGCAAGACUGCAUGGAAAGGAGAGAGUCCUUCGCCUGCAGGGAUGAUUCCUGAGGCAUUCUCUUAGCGGACACCUGCUGAUGGCUCACAGCUAACAGCAAUAUUCACUGCAACAUAACCGAAAUAUGGCAACAGUCACCAAUCUUUAUUAAUUAAAAAUUUACUGAGGUAAUCAAGACAGUUAUUAAAAUAAUAAGACUCCUCUCAGCCAGGCGGUGGUGGUGCACACCUUUGAGUUCAAGGCCGGUGUGGUCUACAGAGUGAGUUCCAGGAUAGCCAGGACUGUUUCACAGAGAAAUCCUGUCUCGAAAAACUGAAAAAACAAAACCCUCUGAUUUGCUUAAAUUUUGUGACCAUGAACAGAACAUGGAUGCUAUUUAGUUUGUAUCUAUCUGAUGGCAGGAUCUGAUAAUGAAAGUCAUAAUCAUGAUUUAAAAAUACUGAACCAGGAAAGCACAUUUUCAUUUUUUAUUUUCAAGGUACUUAUUUAAGAACACUAGUUUAAAAACAUUCUUUGUUGGAACUGGAGAGAUGACUCAGAUCUUGAGAAUGCUUGCUCCCUUUCAGGGGACUCCAGGUCAGUUCCCAGGACUGAAGUCAGGAAGCUCAUAAUCUCCUGUAACUCCAGUUCCAGGGGAUCUGAAACCCUCUUCUGGCCUCUGCAGACAGCUGCACACACACACAA